This is a long non-coding RNA of Bos taurus (domestic cattle), 1097 nucleotides long. Lineage: Eukaryota; Metazoa; Chordata; Mammalia; Artiodactyla; Bovidae. The record is from Ensembl.
CAUGAGAAAGGGAAGAAUGCUUUCAAAAUUCUUGCAUCUGUAGUGCUAGCUGGUGAGGAGCAACAGAAAUACCUCUUGUUCAGUAACAUUUACUCUUAGAGCUGAGACAUGGGCAAGGUAUGGGGCGGUGGAGGGGGGCAUAGAGAAAUGUGCCCAGCACACUCAUCAGGGAGGCCAAUGGGCUUGUAAAGAACAAGGUCAAUUACCCAGUAAGUUCCCCUCUCAUGAACCUUCAAGUUGCAAACUUUCAAAGAUAGGAAUGUGCACCUUGCUGCAACAAGAAACCAGAACCUGUGCCAUCCACAUGAGUCAUAAGUGACCUUGCAGCUUGCCCUCCAUCUCCUGUUGCUGAUGACCCUUCAGCCCUAUCAUCUCCCACCUCCUCUCCCUCCUCCAUCAGUAACUCUUCUGGUCUGUUCCCUCGAUGCCAGCCACUGUAUGCCAGCUGUUGUACUGCACUGCUGUAUUUCUCAAGGUACGGGUGUUGGAGAAGACUCUUGAGAGUCCCUUGGACUGCAAGGAGAUCCAACCACUCCAUUCUGAAGGAGAUCAGCCCUGGGAUUUCUUUGGAAGGACUGAUGCUGAAGCUGAAACUCCAAUACUUUGGCCACCUCAUGUGAAGAGUUGACUCAUUGGAAAAGACUCUGAUGCUGGGAGGGAUUGGGGGCAGGAGGAGAAGGGGACAGCAAAGGAUGAGAUGGCUGGAUGGCAUCACUGACUCGAUGGACAUGAGUUUGGGUGAACUCCGGGAGUUGGUGAUGGACAGGGAGGCCUGGCAUGCUGCAAUUCAUGGGGUCGCAAAGAGUUGGACGUGACUGAGCGACUGAACUGAACUGAACUGAACUAUCCUUACCAAAAUUUUAGUACGGUCUACUGCAAUCAUAUAUUCAUUUGUUUGAAGUGUCUUUAUUUCAAUUUUAUUUUGAAGUAUAUUUUCCUGAAUAUGGCAUUCUAAUUUAGUUGACAUUUCUUUUGUUGAUACAUUGAAGAUAUUCUUGAAUGUUUUAGUCCACUAUUUUCUCACUGCUCUUGUUGCUUUUGAAAUGUCAGCUGUAAUUCUGUUGCUCUAAUAAAUGUAAUGCGUCCUUUAAAAAAUA